This 498-nucleotide ribosomal RNA is filed under the name uncultured bacterium. RNAcentral describes it as "partial 16S ribosomal RNA". It matches the Rfam family "Bacterial small subunit ribosomal RNA", at positions 28 to 507 of the family's 1533-position model. The record is from RNAcentral.
GACGAACGCUGGCGGCGUGCCUAAUACAUGCAAGUCGAACGAGAGCAACCGGUGCUUGCACUGGUCAAUCUAGUGGCGAACGGGUGAGUAACACGUGGGUAACCUGCCCAUCAGAGGGGGAUAACAUCCGGAAACGGAUGCUAAAACCGCAUAGGUCUUCGAACCGCAUGGUUUGAAGAGGAAAAGAGGCGCAAGCUUCUGCUGAUGGAUGGACCCGCGGUGCAUUAGCUGGUUGGUGAGGUAACGGCUCACCAAGGCCGUGAUGCAUAGCCGACCUGAGAGGGUGAUCGGCCACAUUGGGACUGAGACACGGCCCAAACUCCUACGGGAGGCAGCAGUAGGGAAUCUUCCGCAAUGGACGCAAGUCUGACGGAGCAACGCCGCGUGAGUGAAGAAGGUUUUCGGAUCGUAAAACUCUGUUGUUAGAGAAGAACAAGUGCUAGAGUAACUGUUAGCGCCUUGACGGUAUCUAACCAGAAAGCCACGGCUAACUACGUG